This is a long non-coding RNA of Helianthus annuus (common sunflower), 2049 nucleotides long. RefSeq lists it as uncharacterized. The transcript is spliced from 6 exons. Lineage: Eukaryota; Viridiplantae; Streptophyta; Magnoliopsida; Asterales; Asteraceae. The record is from RefSeq and is a predicted model, not a curated record.
UGUUAAUUAGAUUACCCUAUGAUAUUUCCGUCACUCUUUCUUUCAAUUCUACGACUCAAUCAGAAACCCUAAUCUCGCCUCUUCACUGGAUUAUUUGCAUCUUUUGCUUUCCAGUCUGUCUUCUACUCAUCUUAUCUUCAAUCUCGGGUUUUACUUUCUCUCUUCAGUCGGUUGCUGCAAGAUGGUUUAUUGCUCACCAACACCUUUAAUUCCAUUGAUCGCCCUAUCGUGCAUAUUUGAUUUUAAUGUUUGACCUAAAUGAUGGAGGAAUUCUGAUUUAUCUAUCAAAAGGUAUGAAAUUUCGGAAGUGGAUCCGUGAAACAAAUUUUGUAUUUAUUCAACCAAAUACAACGAACAAGUUUUGGUGUUAUUCACUUAUUCUUGAUGACUUCAGAAUGGAUUCCAUCUUGGACAUAUCUCAAAAUGAUUUCAUGUGGAUCACUUAGAGGUAACCCGUGACUUUGAAUGUUUGCUUGGGGGAAUAGUUCUAUGAUAGAGAGUUCUAUUUUAGAGUUGUGAGAUGCAAAACACACACAUGAAUAAGCACUAUCUAGGGACAUGAUCAUCUAUCUCUGGGCAUGCGAUUGACCAUCGUGGUCGCCAUCGACAUAGUGCCAGAGCUGAGCUUAGAGGUAGCACAGCCGAUCAGAGAAUCAACUUAUUGCUUUGGUGCAGAAGGUACAUAAUCCUUCUUUCAACACUAUUGUUUGAUUUAUUAUUAAUUCAAGUUUCACUAAAAACAUAACAAAAUAUAUUUCUUAAGAUGUUGUACUCUUAAGUUUUAAUUUAUUUUUUGUUUCAAUUUCUUUAAACAUAAAUAAUCAGUGUGUUGAACAUGGUUAAAUAACUUUAUUAUGAAAAAAAAACUAUUCUAAAUUCUUUAGGCAAUAUGGUGUGUAGCCAAGCCUCUUGGUGCCCUCCUUCAUUUGGAUGAAUUUGAUUGGGCCAACAAGGCUAAAAAAUGGGGUCCAAAACUAGAGCCCUUUAGCGCUUGCCAUUGCCCGUCGUCACUCCACACCGAUUAGCGACUUAAGAGGUUGUAGGUAUUCAGAUACACUUCGAGUCGCUUUUUAUAUGACCCAUGCCAUUUUAACUAACUGUUUUUAUUUAGAAAUACACCGCAUCUCAAAUCAAUAGUCAGUGCUUUAAAGCACUAGAAAACAACACUGAUUGGAAAAAAAAAUAUUAACUAAACUAUUGCUUUUUUUCUUUUUUUACUGCACUUUCUUUUGUUUUGUUUUAAUUCUUUUCAGUUUAAUUUUAUUAGAUUAUUUUUUUGUAUUUACUAAUUUAUUAUUUAGCAUAUCAACCCCACAAAAUAAAAACACGUUACCACUAUAUUUUUAGGAUUUCACUGUCGUUUAGAGGAGAAAGAUUUAGGAUAUUCCUUACUUAUUCUGCUCGCCUUAGGCUGUGCGGUGUAGGGAUCGUCCCCGCCCCGUCCUGGAUCGGCACCGCCGUCCCCCCAUUUCGCCCCCACCGCCGGCGUCCUGAACGUCCGCAUGAAGAUGUUGGAGACGGGCCUCCCCCUCUCUCACACACCUAUACAUACAAUAUAUACAUAUAUAUUUUAGGUCCAUCUCCCAUUUCCUUACCUCCAUCCUCUUUGCCCCAUCCUCGCACCCGAUCUACGUGGUGGACCAUCCUCCAAAGAUGGACCCAUCACCAUACCGCAUAGCCUUAUUAAAGCGGCUCACUUUUCACACGCUAACCAUAAUUAUUACUGUUAUCGUUAUAGCUUUUGUUUGUUCUUUGCAUUUCUAUAAUUGUGAUCUUCAGGUUGCCCAAAGUUGAGCUUGAGCUGAAAUUUAAUCUUCGGGGAAAAAAAACUUGAAGUGUUACUUAAUCAUAUGUCUCGCAAGUAUUGAUAGUGUUUUUUCUAUUUUUAGUUUUAUUUUAAUAAUGGUUGAUUGAGAAUCAACUUAUUUCAAAUAUAAUCGUAAUAACUUUUUUUAAGAUGAGAUAUACUAUUGUUAGGAUUUAAGUCAUGUGUGGAAACCUUGAAAUUUUGUUGUGAAUUAUAAUUGUAUUUACCCAUUUAUGAAUGAA